AGCGUAGACGGUGUGGCAAGUCUGAUGUGAAAGGCAUGGGCUCAACCUGUGGACUGCAUUGGAAACUGUCAUACUUGAGUGCCGGAGGGGUAAGCGGAAUUCCUAGUGUAGCGGUGAAAUGCGUAGAUAUUAGGAGGAACACCAGUGGCGAAGGCGGCUUACUGGACGGUAACUGACGUUGAGGCUCGAAAGCGUGGUGAGCAAACA
This 207-nucleotide ribosomal RNA is filed under the name uncultured bacterium. Its description in RNAcentral is "partial 16S ribosomal RNA". It matches the Rfam family "Bacterial small subunit ribosomal RNA", at positions 568 to 774 of the family's 1533-position model. The record is from RNAcentral.